ACAAUAUAUCUAUUGAUCUGACAUGUUAAUUUGGGAUUUAGUUUUCUCUCGUUCUUCUAGGAUUUGUCGCCACAUGAUUUAAGCUUGGGCGGUGGGUAGCACAUAAAAUGCAUGCCCGCCACAUGUUCGCUAUAUUGCUGUAGUAGGAUUUUAGAUUUUUCGUUCUACCUUGGAUGCACUGAAUACCUGACAUGUUGUGAAAUAAUUAAGUACGGAAUACUGAGGCUGUAUGAUCUAUUAACAACAUGAAUUGUUUUUACAUUUUUUCAUCCUUACUGGAUGUUGAGCAUGGCUUGAUUAUAUUUGGCAUUAGCACCAUCGGCGUGUAUGCAAAAUCCUCUUUUCUCUCAAUUAUGGUUAAUGAUAUUGUAUGAUACAUAAAAAUUGAGAUAUGAGGGCACUCUUGAAUAACAUAAAAGUUCAAGUAUGAUUGUUAGAAAAGUACAAAAAUGAAUGUCUCAAAUAACAUAAAAAAAUAUGUGUUAAAUGCCUUAGACGUGAGUCCUCUAAAGCUAAUUAAUAGUCUGUAUAAUAGCAAACUUUAAGAUGUCUUUCAUUUCCUUAUCUUAUUUCAGUGAGAAUUCCUCCAAUAAACUGAUGUUCUUAUUUCAGUGACACACUUAGUUUAGUUCCCAUAUUUUACUUCAGUUCAAUAGAUAAAUUAUAAGAAGUAAAAAAUAACUCCUUGACUGUACCGAUUUGCAGCAGUGUAGUUUGCUUCCUUUAAAAUUCAGUUAGUUCACCUCGGCCAGCAACUCCCGCGCCAAAGCCGCCCUGAGGGCGUACAGGACGGCGACGUGUUCGAGGACUGCGACUGGUGGCAGAUACAACUAAAUUCAGGGUGUUCUUAUGCUCUUUUCUUUUUAAGUGCGUUCAAUAAAGUCAUCUUGAAAAUGCUAAAAGAGAGUUGUAGUCUUCUCCCUCAACAAAAGUUUGGAUUCUAAAGGCCAUUGACAAAAAAAGCUCCGGACGCCUCCCUCCGAGAUCCGGCCGCCUUCCCCCUGAGGUCCCAUGGACGCACCGCCACCUCCCAACCCCUCCUUCCGCAAGGUAGCGCUCUGGGCCGCCCUCCUCACCGCGGUGGCCCUGCUGGCCGUUGGCGGCGGAAGCUGGGUGGCGGGUGCUGGCAUGCUUCUUCUCCGGCGAGGACGCCGUGCUACACCGGCGCCGCCACACAUCUUCUGUUCUCGCUAGUAUAUUUCCUGUAGCAGUUCUUCAGUGCACACAAAAAAGACUAGCAUUUCAAUUACUAUCAAUUACUAAAUUCUUCAGUUCAGUUCAAUUACUGAAAUUAUUUCAGUUCAAUUCUUUUAAUAAGUUUCAUUUCGAAUAUAUUAUUUCUGUUCAAUUCAGUUUAGUUCGAUGUAAUGCAAAAAUUCUGAAACUGCUAGAUCCGUGUGAGUAUUUUGGGUUAGGGUAAUGCAUGGCUGACUAAUUGUUUUAUUGUUGUACUAAUGGCCGUUUGUGUGCAGUGCUAAUGGCAGUACAUUUUGGGUUAGGGUAAUGGAUGUCUGACCAAAGAAAUUAUUGUUGUACUAAUACCUCUUAUUGGAAUUGGGGCUGCAACUAAAGUAGCAAACACGACUACGUGAGAAGGGUGAGAAUUAGUGGGAGCAGGGUAUGGAUGAGGAAGGAGCACCAGUAUCUUCAAUGUUGCUGUUGUUUCGUUUCCAUCCCUCUCACGUGUGCAGAAUUUUGUUGGAGCUGGAUGAGACUUUUGCCGUUCCCCUUGUACUCCUUCAUAUAAUCAGUUCAUGUUUUCAAACCAUGUAAGGUCAACCUCCUGGGAUACACGAAGUUUCAGUUCGUCGAGAGGCUUCCUGGAGCUUCAAAACAUUUCACUUCAACUUUUUAGGCUUUUUCAGUACAUCUUACAAAGUGUGUAAGCUCCCUGGAGUAGCGCCUUCGACGCUUGCCCUGCUUCAGCAGUCGUCAUCGUGAGGAUUAGCUACCGUCUAUUUGGCACGGGACCUACCUACGAUGGUCCCAUCUAUUGUGAGUUCGUGUGUGUAUUGUGUUGCCCUCGAGCUGUAUGAGAGGCCGCCCGCGGAGCCGAGGAAGUCGUCGAUCUGGUCGAGG
This is a long non-coding RNA of Triticum aestivum (bread wheat), 2079 nucleotides long. RefSeq lists it as uncharacterized. The record is from RefSeq and is a predicted model, not a curated record. NCBI's taxonomy places the organism in Eukaryota, Viridiplantae, Streptophyta, Magnoliopsida, Poales, Poaceae. The transcript has 6 exons.